This 75-nucleotide transfer RNA is filed under the name Streptococcus pneumoniae K2557. Its description in RNAcentral is "tRNA-Val". It matches the Rfam family "tRNA". Rfam says of the family: Transfer RNA (tRNA) molecules are approximately 80 nucleotides in length. The record is from RNAcentral. Lineage: Bacteria; Bacillati; Bacillota; Bacilli; Lactobacillales; Streptococcaceae.
GGGAGUUUAGCUCAGCCUGGGAGAGCAUCUGCCUUACAAGCAGAGGGUCAGCGGUUUCGAUCCCGUUAACUCCCA